Molecule: ribosomal RNA, 687 nt
Filed under: uncultured marine alpha proteobacterium
Lineage: Bacteria; Pseudomonadati; Pseudomonadota; Alphaproteobacteria
Description: bacterial SSU rRNA
Rfam family: Bacterial small subunit ribosomal RNA
Source: RNAcentral
UUUUCAGUGUCGCAGCGAAAGCGAUCAACACACCGCCUGGGGAGUACGACCGCAAGGUUAAAACUCAAAUGAAUUGACGGGGACCCGCACAAGUAGUGGAGCAUGUGGUUUAAUUCGAAGAUACGCGCAGAACCUUACCAACACUUGACAUGUUCGUCGCGACUUUAAGAGAUUAAAGUUUUCGGUUCGGCCGGACGAAACACAGGUGCUGCAUGGCUGUCGUCAGCUCGUGUCGUGAGAUGUUGGGUUAAGUCCCGCAACGAGCGCAACCCUCACUUUUAGUUGCCAUCAUUAAGUUGGGCACUCUGAAAGAACUGCCAGUGAUAAGCUGGAGGAAGGUGGGGAUGACGUCAAGUCCUCAUGGCCCUUACGUGUUGGGCUACACACGUGCUACAAUGGUAUCUACAACAGGAAGCAAGACAGCGAUGUUAAGCAAAUCCCUAAAAGAUACCUCAGUUCGGAUUGCACUCUGCAACUCGAGUGCAUGAAGCUGGAAUUACUAGUAAUCGUGGAUCAGCGUGCCACGGUGAAUGCGUUCCCGGGUCUUGUACACACCGCCCGUCACACCAUGGGAGUUGGUUCUACCUUAAGGCAAGGUUUAAUACCCUUGACCACGGUAUAGUCAGCGACUGGGGUGAAGUCGUAACAAGGUAGCCGUAGGGGAACCUGCGGCUGGAUUACCUCCUU